RNAcentral lists this ribosomal RNA (301 nucleotides) under uncultured bacterium. RNAcentral's name for it is "partial 16S ribosomal RNA". It matches the Rfam family "Bacterial small subunit ribosomal RNA", at positions 509 to 807 of the family's 1533-position model. The record is from RNAcentral.
CAGCAGCCGCGGGAAAACGGAGGGGGCUAGCGUUGUUCGGAAUUACUGGGCGUAAAGCGCACGUAGGCGGCCUGGUAAGUUAGAGGUGAAAGCCUGGAGCUCAACUCCAGAAUUGCCUUUAAGACUGCCGAGCUAGCAGGUGAGAGAGGUAAGUGGAAUUCCGAGUGUAGAGGUGAAAUUCGUAGAUAUUCGGAAGAACACCAGUGGCGAAGGCGGCUUACUGGCUCAUACUGGACGCUGAGGUGCGAAAGCGUGGGGAGCAAACAGGAUUAGAUACCCCCGUAGUCCCUGUCUCUUAUAC